RNAcentral lists this transfer RNA (71 nucleotides) under Heterocephalus glaber (naked mole-rat). It matches the Rfam family "tRNA". From Rfam's summary of the family: Transfer RNA (tRNA) molecules are approximately 80 nucleotides in length. Their secondary structure includes four short double-helical elements and three loops (D, anti-codon, and T loops). The record is from Rfam by way of RNAcentral. Lineage: Eukaryota; Metazoa; Chordata; Mammalia; Rodentia; Bathyergidae.
GGGGAUGUAGCUCAGUGGUAGAGUAUUUGCCUAGCAUGCAUGAGUCCUUGAUUUAAUCUCCAGCACUGCCA